Dermacentor andersoni is the source of this 948-nucleotide long non-coding RNA. RefSeq lists it as uncharacterized. Lineage: Eukaryota; Metazoa; Arthropoda; Arachnida; Ixodida; Ixodidae. The record is from RefSeq and is a predicted model, not a curated record.
UUAGCUACCAGGUAUAUUAUUCACCUUGUGUAUGCGUCAUGCGUCAGAGACGCCAACGACGCGAGCGAGGCCGGCGGCGCAUGUGAACUUCACUUGUUUGGUGACCCGUCUCUUUGGAUGUAGCCUGUGUGUUGGCCUCCCGGCGUAUUCCUUCGUUCCUUCUACUCUUCAACACGGCUCCACUGGAUUGUUGCACUACGACUAGCUUAUCCAGCGUAUUUUCACCUACAUGCUACACUGCAGGGAAUCGGACGCACACAGGACUGCCGGGAAAAGCGGACAAUGAUGCUGGAAAAGGGCGUGAACCAAAGCCGGAAGAAUAUGAAAUACCUGAGCAACUACAGGGAUCCCCAGAAGAUGCUCGCAAGGUUCUCAAGUUCAUUCAGAGUACGGAAACUUUCUGCCUUCUGAUGGUUAAUAAAGACCAGCUGCCCUAUACUUUGAAGGACUACAGCCCUUGCUUGAAAUCAAGAUACAUUAAAAAUACUUCUUCAGGAGCUGAGCGCACGUUAGAAGGCUACGAAGAAAUGAAAUUCCCAGUAAGAAGAAAAAUUUCAUGUUGUCCCGGUAACGGCUUAUUGCAAAGUGUGGUGUUCUACCAGGCAGGCAGGAACCAGGCGGUUGAAGGGAAAGUACGCAAAAGGAAUUUCUUUAUUCCAUGGACAAGGUAACUGGCGAGCGCCAGCGCAGCUGAGUCGCUGCCUGUGAUAAGCUGAGAAGAAGUGAGCGGGCUACGCUCAGCGCCGUGGUGUAUAAGCCCUUGUCAAAGGGGUGUGUCGCAGUAGCGUACGUGUCGGUUAUCGGUAGACGUGCAGCCACAACGCAAGGUUUUCCAGUUCUGCGCCGUCUAGGAGAGACGAUGAGGAUGAGAGUCAGCUGUACGAAUUGAAAAUAAACCUGGCUGAUUUUCUUUGGACUUCUUCAAUUUUAUUGUAGUUGGUUUGUGUG